UCUCCGGCAGGAGAAUAGGGAAAGAGGUGCAAAUCCUCUGCGGUCCCGCCGCUGUAAGGGAAGAGCGCGCUAUCGAAUACGUCACUGAACCGGAAGGUUCGGGAAGACCGACUGCGUGCAAGGACGCCCAAGCCAGAAUACCUGCCUUUUGGGAU
Molecule: non-coding RNA, 155 nt
Filed under: uncultured Agathobaculum sp.
Lineage: Bacteria; Bacillati; Bacillota; Clostridia; Eubacteriales; Butyricicoccaceae
Source: RNAcentral